RNAcentral lists this ribosomal RNA (253 nucleotides) under uncultured bacterium. RNAcentral's name for it is "partial 16S ribosomal RNA". It matches the Rfam family "Bacterial small subunit ribosomal RNA", at positions 524 to 776 of the family's 1533-position model. The record is from RNAcentral.
UACGUAGGGGGCUAGCGUUGUCCGGAAUCAUUGGGCGUAAAGCGCGCGUAGGCGGCCCGGUAAGUCCGCUGUGAAAGUCAAAGGCUCAACCUUUGAAUGUCAGCGGAUACUGCCGGGCUAGAGUCCGGAAGAGGCGAGUGGAACUCCUGGUGUAGCGGCGGAAUGCGCAGAUAUCAGGAAGAACACCAACGGCGAAGGCAGCUCGCUGGGACGGAACUGACGCUAAGGCGCGAAAGCGUGGGGAGCGAACAGG